CACACAUUCGCGCACGGGACGGCCGCGGGGCGCCUCGCGCUCCCCUGCUAGUCCCAGCUGCGGGAACUGCUUUCCGUCCCAGCGUUGGUUUGGCCGAUCACUAGGAAUCUGGUUCUGAUGGUGUCGUGCGGCCAUAGCCAGCCAGCGGUGCAGCAGCGACCCCUCUUUCGUUCAGCAAACACCUGAAACGUGCCAAUCUUGCAGUGACUGUUGAUGGGUCCUUUGCGAGCUUCUCAAGGGGUGUCCACAGCCGCUCUUCAAAAUAGCAGGUGAAUUUGUGAGUCAAAGCAACAUGAUGGAGAGGUAUAUUCGAGUUGGAUCUUUCAAAGAGAUGACUGAUGCGUGGUAGCUGAUGGUGACAGUGCCGGAUAUCCUAUACCCCUGAAGCCAAAGAAAUGCACCACAAUUUUGAGACAUGUAAUGUAUGCUUAUUGUUGUACUUAUUAGUACAUAAUUUUAUUUAUAUUUAUAUGUUAAAUUAUACCUUUAGGACUCAAAUAAUAUAGUGCAAGUAUGUAGUACAGCAAGAACAAAUGAUUUCAUGAACCAUCAGUACACUUAUCCGCAAAGCAUAUUCUAGAGAUAUCAUAUUGCACAAUUUCAUCGAACCAGUGUCUUACCACGAGCGACU
Long non-coding RNA from Lolium rigidum, 631 nucleotides. RefSeq lists it as uncharacterized. NCBI's taxonomy places the organism in Eukaryota, Viridiplantae, Streptophyta, Magnoliopsida, Poales, Poaceae. The transcript is spliced from 4 exons. The record is from RefSeq and is a predicted model, not a curated record.